AUUGAACGCUGGCGGCAGGCCUAACACAUGCAAGUCGAACGGUAACAGGAAACAGCUUGCUGUUUCGCUGACGAGUGGCGGACGGGUGAGUAAUGUCUGGGAAACUGCCUGAUGGAGGGGGAUAGCUACUGGAAACGGUAGCUAAUACCGCAUAACGUCGCAAGACCAAAGAGGGGGACCUUCGGUCCUCUUGCCAUCGGAUGUGCCCAGAUGGGAUUAGCUAGUAGGUGGGGUAACGGCUCACCUAGGCGACGAUCCCUAGCUGGUCUGAGAGGAUGACCAGCCACACUGGAACUGAGACACGGUCCAGACUCCUACGGGAGGCAGCAGUGGGGAAUAUUGCACAAUGGGCGCAAGCCUGAUGCAGCCAUGCCGCGUGUAUGAAGAAGGCCUUCGGGUUGUAAAGUACUUUCAGCGGGGAGGAAGGGAGUAAAGUUAAUACCUUUGCUCAUUGACGUUACCCGCAGAAGAAGCACCGGCUAACUCCGUGCCAGCCGCCGCCGUAA
This 506-nucleotide ribosomal RNA is filed under the name uncultured bacterium. RNAcentral's name for it is "partial 16S ribosomal RNA". It matches the Rfam family "Bacterial small subunit ribosomal RNA", at positions 30 to 523 of the family's 1533-position model. The record is from RNAcentral.